ACCCAGAUCAGAGUGAUCGGCGCAAUGGAGCCUGGAAUAUGCACGAAAAUGCUCAGAAAUUUGAGUGAAAAACUCGCAGCAAAAUUUCUCGCCACUACACUUAGCUACUCUGUGGAAAAAAUUGCCCGUCUCGAUCAUGCUUUCUCAGAAAUUUUUGAACUGGAAGCAAGCCCAGUAGAAGGUCAAUCACUGCAGCGAAAAGAUAAGAAAAGGAGAAGAACAAACAACCGAAAAGCCUAAAGAGGAAGGUCACUUUCUCGUCCAAAAGCUCGAAAUUUUAAUUUCUGCGCAUGCCCGAGCAAAAAUGUCGAAAAACGCUUUGCAUGCCUGUGACAUUGGAUCACGUUUUAUGACUCGUUUCAUAAUUCAUCUUUGUCAAUAUUUGAACCUGAAUUAGCGAUACUUGCAUUUCCAACGACUGGGGCGUAGUGAUAAGCCUCUAUACUCUAAAAGUUUAACGUAUAACAUACAGGAUCAAACCAAAGAAUAGCUACUUGCUUCCCUCAAGGUUGCUUAUCUUUUUGCUGUUCCUCUAAAGGAUACAUUCACAGCCAAGAAUGAUAGCCAAGUGUUUUACUGCAGGUCACUGGCUCUAGCCUACAUUGAGUGCACAGUUUUGCAAAGAUUUAAAGAAGCCAUUUUCAACGAGGAUGAAACUCCACCAGCCCUAAAACCAGUUCUUCUUAGACUUUGUUCUUUGUAUGGCUUGUCUUCUCUGGAGACACAUCUCACCACUCUAUACCAAGGCGGCUUCUGCUGUUCAGCGAACGACGCCAGGAUUGUAAGAGCAACUAUCCUUAGUCUCUGCUACGAGUUAAAAGAACAGGCUGUAGCUCUUGUGGAUGCCUUGGCUCCUCCAGAUUUUAUCCUCAAUUCACCCAUUGGACACAGUAAUGGAAAGGCCCACGAAAACUUACACGAAGCGAUCAUGCAGAACCCAGAGAACCUGAGACGAAUUUCCUGGUGGAAGGAAUGUCGUCAACUUCCGGUCAUCCGGGAUCGUAGCAAGUUGUGAAAAAGAAUGCGUUGAAAAGUAUACCGAGGAAAUGUUUUGUUCUCUUCACACGAUCUCCACAUCUAUUAGGAUUCAUAGUUACUCAUUUCACAAUAGAAAUAUACAAAUAGCCUCCAUUUGACUUGAAACAUUGUCAAAAUGGCUGUGGAACCACGAGCCGCAGACAAGUGGUUCCGCAGGAAACUUUGUCAAUGUUAUGACGAAAUUUAUCAUCAAAAAGAGGACAGACUCAUAAAAAACUGACGUUGAUUUGUGUUUUACAAUAACAAAACCCCAGAAAGGUCGAAUGCCGGGAAUUAAUGAGGGGAAAAGAGGCCAUAAACUUGCCGUAAACAAAGACAAGUGAAUUUUAUUCAAAUUGACGCGAACAGUGGCAAUAGCUUU
Molecule: long non-coding RNA, 1399 nt
Organism: Orbicella faveolata
Lineage: Eukaryota; Metazoa; Cnidaria; Anthozoa; Scleractinia; Merulinidae
Source: RefSeq, a predicted model, not a curated record